GAAUAUUGGGCAAUGGGCGAAAGCCUGACCCAGCAACGCCGCGUGAAGGAUGAAAUCCCUCGGGAUGUAAACUUCGCAAGAACGGGAAGAAUAAGUUGGUGUGAACAUCACCAGCGAUGACGGUACCGUUUGUAAGCUCCGGCUAACUCCGUGCCAGCAGCCGCGGUAAGACGGGGGGAGCAAGCGUUGUUCGGAUUUACUGGGCGUAAAGGGCGCGUAGGCGGCCACCGCAAGUCGGUUGUGAAAUCUCCGGGCUUAACCCGGAAAGGUCAACCGAUACUGCGGGGCUAGAGUGCAGAAGGGGCAACUGGAAUUCUCGGUGUAGCGGUGAAAUGCGUAGAUAUCGAGAGGAACACCUGCGGCGAAGGCGGGUUGCUGGGCUGACACUGACGCUGAGGCGCGAAAGCUAGGGGAGCGAACGGG
This 423-nucleotide ribosomal RNA is filed under the name uncultured bacterium. RNAcentral describes it as "bacterial SSU rRNA". It matches the Rfam family "Bacterial small subunit ribosomal RNA", at positions 359 to 776 of the family's 1533-position model. The record is from RNAcentral.